CGUGAAAUUGCUGAAAGGGACACGUUUGACACCAGUUAUGCGGGUGGAAAAUCAGUCUUUUGCAAUGGGGAGUUGUGGGCGUUCAGACCGCAAGGCUGGCGUUUGCUUCAUCUUUGUUGUAAGUGAUGCACUUUUUCAUUUGCAGGUCAACAUCAGUUUGCUUUGCUGGACAAAACCCCAAGGGAAGGUGGCAGCUUAGGCUGUGUUAUAGCCCUGGGGCGAUACAGUGGAGUGGACUGAGGUUUCGCAGG
This 251-nucleotide ribosomal RNA is filed under the name Linnemannia fluviae. Its description in RNAcentral is "Mortierella fluviae partial large subunit ribosomal RNA". Lineage: Eukaryota; Fungi; Mortierellomycota; Mortierellomycetes; Mortierellales; Mortierellaceae. The record is from RNAcentral.